GACGAACGCUGGCGGCGUGCCUAAUACAUGCAAGUCGAACGCUUCUUUUCCCACCGGAGCUUGCUCCACCGGGAAAAGAGGAGUGGCGAACGGGUGAGUAACACGUGGGUAACCUGCCCAUCAGCAGGGGAUAACACUUGGAAACAGGUGCUAAUACCGUAUAACAAUCGAAACCGCCUGGGUUCGUUUUGAAAGUCGCUUUACGGUGCCGCUGAUGGAUGGACCCGCGGUGCAUUAGCUAGUUGGUGGGGUAAGGGCUCACCAAGGCCACGAAGCAUAGCCGACCUGAGAGGGUGAUCGGCCACAUUGGGACUGAGACACGGCCCAAACGCCUACGGGAGGCAGCAGUAGGGAAUCUUCGGCAAUGGACGAAAGUCUGACCGAGCAACGCCGCGUGAGUGAAGAAGGUUUUCGGAUCGUAAAACUCUGUUGUUAGAGAAGAACAAGGGUGAGAGUAACUGUUCACCCCUUGACGGUAUCUAACCAGAAAGCCACGGCUAACUACGUGCCAGCCGCCGCGGUAA
This 524-nucleotide ribosomal RNA is filed under the name uncultured bacterium. RNAcentral's name for it is "partial 16S ribosomal RNA". It matches the Rfam family "Bacterial small subunit ribosomal RNA", at positions 28 to 523 of the family's 1533-position model. The record is from RNAcentral.